Molecule: ribosomal RNA, 464 nt
Filed under: uncultured bacterium
Lineage: Bacteria
Description: partial 16S ribosomal RNA
Rfam family: Bacterial small subunit ribosomal RNA
Source: RNAcentral
CUACGGGCCGCUCCAGUGAGGAAUUUUGCGCAAUGGGGGAAACCCUGACGCAGCAACGCCGCGUGAGUGAUGAAGACCUUCGGGUCGUAAAGCUCUGUCAAGUGGGAAAAAAUACUUGCAGUUAAUAGCUGUAAGGACUGAUGGUACCACUGGAGGAAGCACCGGCUAACUCCGUGCCAGCAGCCGCGGUAAUACGGAGGGUGCAAGCGUUGUUCGGAAUCAUUGGGCGUAAAGGGCGUGCAGGCUGCUUGGAAAGUCAGAUGUGAAAGCCCUGGGCUCAACCCAGGAAGUGCAUUUGAAACUGCCAAGCUAGAGUAUGGGAGAGGAGAGUGGAAUUCCCAGUGUAGAGGUGAAAUUCGUAGAUAUUGGGAGGAACAUCAGUGGCGAAGGCGACUCUCUGGACCAAUACUGACGCUGAGACGCGAAAGCGUGGGGAGCAAACAGGAUUAGAUACCCUCGUAGUC